GACGAACGCUGGCGGCGUGCUUAACACAUGCAAGUCGAACGGCAACGCCCUGCUUUUUUGUGGUGCUCGAGUGGCGAACGGGUGCGUAACACGUGAGUAACCUGCCCUAUACUUUGGGAUAACUUCAGGAAACUAGGGCUAAUACCGGAUAGGAUCUCCUGCUGCAUGGUGGGGGUUGGAAAGUUUCGGCGGUUGUGGAUGGACUCGCGGCUUAUCAGCUUGUUGGUGGGGUAGUGGCUUACCAAGGCUUUGACGGGUAGCCGGCCUCAGAGGGUGACCGGCCACCUUGGGACUGAGAUACGGCCCAGACUCCUACGGGAGGCAGCAGUGGGGAAUAGUGCACGAUGGGCGGAAGCCUGAUGCAGCAACGCCGCGUGCGGGAUGACGGCCUUCGGGUUGUCAACCGCUUUCGCCUGUGACGAAGCGUGAGUGACGGUAAUGGAUAAAGAAGCACCGGCUAACUACGUG
RNAcentral lists this ribosomal RNA (468 nucleotides) under uncultured bacterium. RNAcentral's name for it is "partial 16S ribosomal RNA". It matches the Rfam family "Bacterial small subunit ribosomal RNA", at positions 28 to 507 of the family's 1533-position model. The record is from RNAcentral.